This 1215-nucleotide ribosomal RNA is filed under the name Pseudoalteromonas luteoviolacea. RNAcentral's name for it is "bacterial LSU rRNA". It matches the Rfam family "Bacterial large subunit ribosomal RNA", at positions 1 to 1267 of the family's 2925-position model. The record is from RNAcentral. Lineage: Bacteria; Pseudomonadati; Pseudomonadota; Gammaproteobacteria; Alteromonadales; Pseudoalteromonadaceae.
GUUGUAUGGUUAAGUGACUAAGCGUACACGGUGGAUGCCUUGGCAGUUGGAGGCGAUGAAGGACGUACUAACUUGCGAUAAGCUAAGUCGAGCCAGUAAGAGGCACUUGAGACUUAGAUUUCCGAAUGGGGAAACCCACCGCUUAGCGGUAUCUUACAGUGAAUACAUAGCUGUAAGAGGCAAACCGGGAGAACUGAAACAUCUAAGUACCCCGAGGAAAAGAAAUCAACCGAGAUUCCGAAAGUAGCGGCGAGCGAAAUCGGAUUAGCCCUUAAGCUUCAGUGUAAUUAGUGGAACCUUCUGGAAAGUUGGACGACACAGGGUGACAGUCCCGUACACGAAAAUUUAUCUGAAGUGAAAUCGAGUAGGUCGGAGCACGUGAAACUUUGACUGAAUAUGGGGGGACCAUCCUCCAAGGCUAAAUACUCCCAACUGACCGAUAGUGAACCAGUACCGUGAGGGAAAGGCGAAAAGAACCCCUGUGAGGGGAGUGAAAUAGAACCUGAAACCGUGUACGUACAAGCAGUAGGAGCCCUUCGAGGGUGACUGCGUACCUUUUGUAUAAUGGGUCAGCGACUUAUAUUCUGUAGCGAGGUUAACCAUUUAGGGGAGCCGUAGCGAAAGCGAGUCUUAACUGGGCGCUUAAGUUGCAGGGUAUAGACCCGAAACCCGGUGAUCUAGCCAUGGGCAGGUUGAAGGUCAGGUAACACUGACUGGAGGACCGAACCCACUAACGUUGAAAAGUUAGGGGAUGACCUGUGGCUAGGAGUGAAAGGCUAAUCAAACCGGGAGAUAGCUGGUUCUCCCCGAAAUCUAUUUAGGUAGAGCCUCGGACGAAUACUUACGGGGGUAGAGCACUGUUAAGGCUAGGGGGUCAUCCCGACUUACCAACCCUUUGCAAACUCCGAAUACCGUAAAGUACUAUCCGGGAGACACACGGUGGGUGCUAACGUCCAUCGUGGAGAGGGAAACAACCCAGACCGUCAGCUAAGGUCCCAAAGUGUAUGUUAAGUGGGAAACGAUGUGGGAAGGCUAAAACAGCUAGGAGGUUGGCUUAGAAGCAGCCAUCCUUUAAAGAAAGCGUAAUAGCUCACUAGUCGAGUCGGCCUGCGCGGAAGAUGUAACGGGGCUAAACAUACCACCGAAGCUACGGCUGCGAACUUAUGUUCGCGGGGUAGGGGAGCGUUCUGUAAGUGGCUGAAGGUGUGCCGGGAG